UACGGGAGGCAGCAGUGGGGAAUAUUGCACAAUGGGCGCAAGCCUGAUGCAGCCAUGCCGCGUGUAUGAAGAAGGCCUUCGGGUUGUAAAGUACUUUCAGUCGUGAGGAAGGUGUUAAGGUUAAUAACCUUAGCAAUUGACGUUAGCGACAGAAGAAGCACCGGCUAACUCCGUGCCAGCAGCCGCGGUAAUACGGAGGGUGCGAGCGUUAAUCGGAAUUACUGGGCGUAAAGGGCACGCAGGCGGUUAAUUAAGUUGGAUGUGAAAUCCCCGGGCUUAACCUGGGAAUGGCAUUCAAGACUGGUUAGCUAGAGUCUUGUAGAGGGGGUAGAAUUCCAUGUGUAGCGGUGAAAUGCGUAGAGAUGUGGAGGAAUACCGGUGGCGAAGGCGGCCCCGUGGACAAAGACUGACGCUCAUGUGCGAAAGCGUGGGGAGCAAACAGGGAUUAGAUACC
Molecule: ribosomal RNA, 454 nt
Filed under: uncultured bacterium
Lineage: Bacteria
Description: bacterial SSU rRNA
Rfam family: Bacterial small subunit ribosomal RNA
Source: RNAcentral